Molecule: non-coding RNA, 235 nt
Organism: Pelobates cultripes (western spadefoot toad)
Lineage: Eukaryota; Metazoa; Chordata; Amphibia; Anura; Pelobatidae
Source: the annotation of a GenBank genome assembly
GUUUAGUGUUAGGACUACACCUGUAUAUAGAUCUAGGGAAGGGACACUAUAGGGUUAGGAAUACAGAUUUGUGUGUUCCUUUAACUCUCAACUCAUCAAGCCUUUCAGGAGUGGACAGCAGCCGAAUGAAGGAACACAGGAGAUAGAUCUGGCAGCCAGGGACCAUUGAGACACAGUUGUUAUGGUGGUGGGAGUGCUCACUUGUAUUAUAUUUUUUCUUUAAUUACCAAGCAGC